GACGAACGCUGGCGGCGUGCUUAACACAUGCAAGUCGAACGGAAAGGCCUUUUCGGAGGUACUCGAGUGGCGAACGGGUGAGUAACACGUGGGUGAUCUGCCCUGCACUCUGGGAUAAGCCUAGGAAACUGGGUCUAAUACCGGAUAGGACCGCACUUUAGUGUGUGUGGUGGAAAGUUUUUUCGGCGUAGGAUGAGCCCGCGGCCUAUCAGCUUGUUGGUGGGGUAAUGGCCUACCAAGGCGGCGACGGGUAGCCGGACUGAGAGGUUGGUCGGCCACAUUGGGACUGAGAUACGGCCCAGACUCCUACGGGAGGCAGCAGUGGGGAAUAUUGCACAAUGGGCGCAAGCCUGAUGCAGCGACGCCGCGUGGGGGAUGACGGCCUUCGGGUUGUAAACUCCUUUCGCCAGGGACGAAGCGUUUUGUGACGGUACCUGGAGAAGAAGCACCGGCUAACUACGUG
Molecule: ribosomal RNA, 463 nt
Filed under: uncultured bacterium
Lineage: Bacteria
Description: partial 16S ribosomal RNA
Rfam family: Bacterial small subunit ribosomal RNA
Source: RNAcentral